AUUGAACGCUGGCGGAAUGCUUUACACAUGCAAGUCGAGCGGCAGCGCGGGGCAACCUGGCGGCGAGCGGCGAACGGGUGAGUAACAUAUCGGAACGUACCCAGUCGUGGGGGAUAACUAUCCGAAAGGAUAGCUAAUACCGCAUACGACCUGAGGGUGAAAGGGGGGGAUCGCAAGACCUCUCGCGAUUGGAGCGGCCGAUAUCGGAUUAGCUAGUUGGUGAGGUAAAGGCUCACCAAGGCGACGAUCCGUAGCUGGUCUGAGAGGACGACCAGCCACACUGGGACUGAGACACGGUCCAGACUCCUACGGGAGGCAGCAGUGGGGAAUUUUGGACAAUGGGGGCGAACCCUGAUCCAGCCAUUCCGCGUGAGUGAAGAAGGCCUGUGU
Molecule: ribosomal RNA, 390 nt
Filed under: uncultured bacterium
Lineage: Bacteria
Description: bacterial SSU rRNA
Rfam family: Bacterial small subunit ribosomal RNA
Source: RNAcentral